This 49-nucleotide small nucleolar RNA is filed under the name Pyrobaculum islandicum DSM 4184. RNAcentral describes it as "PISsR49". Lineage: Archaea; Thermoproteati; Thermoproteota; Thermoprotei; Thermoproteales; Thermoproteaceae. The record is from RNAcentral.
GUGAUGUAAUGCACCUCGUCCGAGAGAUGGGGAACUCAUGGCGUGCUGA